GACGAACGCUGGCGGCGUGCUUAACACAUGCAAGUCGGACGGAAAGGCCCUGCUUUUGUGGGGUGCUCGAGUGGCGAACGGGUGAGUAACACGUGAGUAACCUGCCCUUGACUUUGGGAUAACUUCAGGAAACUGGGGCUAAUACCGGAUAGGAGCUCCUGCUGCAUGGGGGGGGUUGGAAAGUUUCGGCGGUUGGGGAUGGACUCGCGGCUUAUCAGCUUGUUGGUGGGGUAGUGGCUUACCAAGGCUUUGACGGGUAGCCGGCCUGAGAGGGUGACCGGCCACAUUGGGACUGAGAUACGGCCCAGACUCCUACGGGAGGCAGCAGUGGGGAAUAUUGCACAAUGGGCGGAAGCCUGAUGCAGCAACGCCGCGUGCGGGAUGACGGCCUUCGGGUUGUAAACCGCUUUCGCCUGUGACGAAGCGUGAGUGACGGUAAUGGGUAAAGAAGCACCGGCUAACUACGUG
This 468-nucleotide ribosomal RNA is filed under the name uncultured bacterium. Its description in RNAcentral is "partial 16S ribosomal RNA". It matches the Rfam family "Bacterial small subunit ribosomal RNA", at positions 28 to 507 of the family's 1533-position model. The record is from RNAcentral.